GAUGAAGAACGCAGUGAAAUGCGAUAAGUAAUGUGAAUUGCAGAAUUCAGUGAAUCAUCGAAUCUUUGAACGCACAUUGCGCCCUUUGGUAUUCCGAGGGGCAUGCCUGUUCGAGCGUCAUUAUAACCCCUCAAGCUCAGCUUGGUGUUGGGGCCUGCUGCACUGGCAGCCCUUAAAAUCAGUGGCGGCGCCAUCUGGCUCUAAGCGUAGUAAUUCUUCUCGCUAUGGAGUCCUGGUGGAUGCUUGCCAUCAACCCCCAAUUUUUCUAUGGUUGACCUCGGAUCAGGUAGGGAUACCCGCUGAACUUAAGCAUAUCAAUAAGCGGAGGA
Molecule: unclassified non-coding RNA, 329 nt
Filed under: soil metagenome
Description: partial contains 5.8S ribosomal RNA, internal transcribed spacer 2, and large subunit ribosomal RNA
Rfam family: 5.8S ribosomal RNA (bases 1-120)
Source: RNAcentral